This 252-nucleotide ribosomal RNA is filed under the name Triticum aestivum (bread wheat). RNAcentral's name for it is "partial small subunit ribosomal RNA". The record is from RNAcentral. Lineage: Eukaryota; Viridiplantae; Streptophyta; Magnoliopsida; Poales; Poaceae.
AUGAGCGAGUUUGGAGCACGGCGGUUCGAUUUGGUAAUCUCCAACGGCGUUCUCUGCAGGCUACCUGGUGACUAUGAGUUUGAUCCCCUGGGGCUCGGGAAGCAGCCAAAGGACCUGAAGUGGUACAUCCAGGCCGAGCUCGUGCACUGCCGGUUCGCCAUGGCAGGGGUUGCCGGCAUCCUCGAAACUGAUUUAUUCAACAUGCUUCAAACUUUUUCUGUUCGAUUUGGUGCAGGAGGAUGCCCGAGCUGA